Molecule: transfer RNA, 87 nt
Filed under: bacterium
Lineage: Bacteria
Description: tRNA-Leu
Rfam family: tRNA
About the family: Transfer RNA (tRNA) molecules are approximately 80 nucleotides in length. Their secondary structure includes four short double-helical elements and three loops (D, anti-codon, and T loops).
Source: RNAcentral
GCCGAAGUGGUGAAAUUGGUAGACACGCUAGGUUCAGGGUCUAGUCCCGUUAAAAGGAUAGGGGUUCGAGUCCCCUCUUCGGCACCA